RNAcentral lists this ribosomal RNA (253 nucleotides) under uncultured bacterium. RNAcentral describes it as "partial 16S ribosomal RNA". It matches the Rfam family "Bacterial small subunit ribosomal RNA", at positions 524 to 776 of the family's 1533-position model. The record is from RNAcentral.
UACGGAGAGGGCUAGCGUUGUUCGGAAUUACUGGGCGUAAAGCGCACGUAGGCGGCUUUGUAAGUUAGAGGUGAAAGCCCAGGGCUCAACCCUGGAAUUGCCUUUAAGACUGCAUCGCUUGAAUCAUGGAGAGGUGAGUGGAAUUCCGAGUGUAGAGGUGAAAUUCGUAGAUAUUCGGAAGAACACCAGUGGCGAAGGCGACUCACUGGACAUGUAUUGACGCUGAGGUGCGAAAGCGUGGGGAGCAAACAGG